UAGGGAAUCUUCCACAAUGGACGCAAGUCUGAUGGAGCAACGCCGCGUGAGUGAAGAAGGUCUUCGGAUCGUAAAACUCUGUUGUUAGAGAAGAACACGAGUGAGAGUAACUGUUCAUACGUUGACGGUAUUUAACCAGAAAGUCACGGCUAACUACGUGCCCG
This 164-nucleotide ribosomal RNA is filed under the name uncultured bacterium. RNAcentral describes it as "partial 16S rRNA". It matches the Rfam family "Bacterial small subunit ribosomal RNA", at positions 355 to 511 of the family's 1533-position model. The record is from RNAcentral.